AUAGCAUGCACGUGUGUGUCAAGGUGAAAAAGCUACACUGAUUGGAUUAUUUCCCAGAAUCUGUGGCCAAAUAGUCACUCUUUCUGUGGCAUUGUGCUGAAUAUAGCACAGAGACCUCAGUGGAGCUGGUUAUGUAAUCUCAUUACUCUCACUAAUUGUUUAUGAGGUCAUUUUUCUAAUACAUUAGAGUAAGACAGGGGUUUACAAAUGGGCCGGCAAUCAUGAAAAUAUAAUUAAGAGCACCUGCUGUUAAUGAUGCAAUGUCCAGGACAUUAGGGAUUAGAGUUUGGCUGUGCACGGACAGAAGAACACACAAGUUAUGCAAGCGUGUAAACAGACACACUAGUAUGCUGGACUCAGGGUGGCAUUUGUCAAGAGUUUAUCUCCCCUGAAAAGGUCAUGGACAGAUUUCAGUUAUUUUACCCUUCGCUUCAUUUAACACAGAUUCGCACCCACCUUAGAAACUUCCUAGGUACCGAUUUUACUCCCUAUCCUUUUUUUUUUUUUUUUUAAACAGAAGCAUGAGGAAACACUUUACCACCCUUAUAUCCCACGCAUGUUAGGCAAACAGCAAAGCUGAUCCAUUCAAAGUUUUCGUGGGAGUCACACAUUUGGGAGUGUCUGGUUUUGGCUGUCCGUCACACAGUUUCGUCCAAAUUGUCGCUCUGCCCUCUGUGGGAUUAUGAAAGGCCAGACGACACCUGAGGUGGUGUGGAGUCUUGGCGGCCACACAAUAUGGUGUGACUGAGGAAUAGGGAUGGUUUUAGUAAGCAGCCCAGAGAGUUGCAAAACGAUAUUCCUUUCCUGCAAAUAAGUUCUUUCCUAAUAUCUGAAAUAAAAGCAUAUUUGGUUUUGGAAGUUUUUUAAUUUAGACUUUAGACUAUCACAAUCAUGCACAGUAAGAAUGCAUGUGUUGCUUAUUUUGAAUAGAUGAGUUUUUAAAAUAUAUAAGAAAUAUAUAAGAAAUAUCGUUCCUCUGAGUUGGAAGGUGGCAAAAGUUACACCAAUUUAUAAAUCGGGUGAUAAAACAGACCCUGCUAAUUAUCCACCUAUUAGCAUACUCCCUAUCUUUUCAAAGAUAGCAGAAAAGUGGGUUGCUAACUCUAUCAUCAAACAUCUUAAUGACUCCAAUCCGGGUUUGCACCCUAUACAAUUCGGAUUUCGCACUCUUCAUUCAACUGAAAUGGCUGUUUGUGUUUUUGUUGAGAGAGUGAAAUCUUACUUAGACAAGAGCAGUUAUGUUGCGGCUGUUUUUCUUGAUUUCAAGCGUGCGUUUGACACUG
This is a long non-coding RNA of Astatotilapia calliptera (eastern happy), 1283 nucleotides long. Lineage: Eukaryota; Metazoa; Chordata; Actinopteri; Cichliformes; Cichlidae. The record is from Ensembl.